RNAcentral lists this transfer RNA (64 nucleotides) under Echinococcus multilocularis. RNAcentral's name for it is "tRNA-Ala". The record is from RNAcentral. Lineage: Eukaryota; Metazoa; Platyhelminthes; Cestoda; Cyclophyllidea; Taeniidae.
AACAUGGUAGUUUAUUAAAAAUAUUGAGUUUGCGUCUCGAUGAUAGGUAUAUACCUCUGUGUUG